AUUGAACGCUGGCGGCAUGCUUUACACAUGCAAGUCGAACGGCAGCACGGGGGCAACCCUGGUGGCGAGUGGCGAACGGGUGAGUAAUACAUCGGAACGUGUCCUUUUGUGGGGGAUAACCAGUCGAAAGACUGGCUAAUACCGCAUAAGCUGGAGACAGGAAAGCGGGGACCGCAAGGCCUCGUGCGAUUGGAGCGGCCGAUGUCCGAUUAGCUAGUUGGUAGGGUAAAGGCCACCAAGGCGACGAUCGGUAGCUGGUCUGAGAGGAUGAUCAGCCACACUGGGACUGAGACACGGCCCAGACUCCUACGGGAGGCAGCAGUGGGGAAUUUUGGACAAUGGGGGCAACCCUGAUCCAGCCAUGCCGCGUGAGUGAAGAAGGCCU
RNAcentral lists this ribosomal RNA (385 nucleotides) under uncultured bacterium. RNAcentral's name for it is "bacterial SSU rRNA". It matches the Rfam family "Bacterial small subunit ribosomal RNA", at positions 29 to 417 of the family's 1533-position model. The record is from RNAcentral.